This 393-nucleotide ribosomal RNA is filed under the name uncultured bacterium. RNAcentral describes it as "partial 16S ribosomal RNA". It matches the Rfam family "Bacterial small subunit ribosomal RNA", at positions 523 to 918 of the family's 1533-position model. The record is from RNAcentral.
AUACGGAGGAUGCAAGCGUUAUCCGGAUUUAUUGGGUUUAAAGGGUGCGUAGGCGGUUUGCUAAGCGGGAGGUGAAAUGCCGGCGCUCAACGUCGGAAGUGCCUCCCGAACUGGUGGACUUGAAUGACUCUGCCGUGGGAGGAAUGUGUAGUGUAGCGGUGAAAUGCUUAGAGAUUACACAGAACACCGAUUGCGAAGGCAUCUCACGAAGGGUUGAUUGACGCUGAGGCACGAAAGCGUGGGGAUCAAACAGGAUUAGAUACCCUGGUAGUCCACGCCGUAAACGAUGGGCGCUCGUCGUCGGCGACAGACAGUCGGCGGCCAAGCGAAAGCGAUAAGCGCCCCACCUGGGGAGUACGGUCGCAAGGCUGAAACUCAAAUGAAUUGACGGGG